This 406-nucleotide ribosomal RNA is filed under the name uncultured bacterium. RNAcentral describes it as "partial 16S ribosomal RNA". It matches the Rfam family "Bacterial small subunit ribosomal RNA", at positions 29 to 526 of the family's 1533-position model. The record is from RNAcentral.
AUUGAACGCUGGCGGCAGGCCUAACACAUGCAAGUCGAACGAGAGGCGGACGGGAGAGAUAUGUCCGGGAAAAUGCGCGAGGGAGGGGGAUAACUAAUGGAAACAGUAGCUAAUACCGCAUAACACCGGCUGUGCCGAGAUGGCAUGAGCUAGUAGGUGGGGUAACGGCUCACCUAGGCGACGAACCCUAGCUGGUCUGAGAGGACGACCAUCCACACUGGGAAUGAGACACGGUCCAUACUCCUACGGGAGGCAGCAGUGGGGAAUAUUGCACAGUGGGCGGAAGCCUGAUGCAGCCAUGCCGCGUGUGUGAGGAAGGCCUUCGGGUUGUAAAGUACUUUCGGCGGGGAGGCGUUACGCGCAGAAGAAGCACCGGCUAACUCCGUGCCAGCAGCCGCGGUAAUAC